UCCAGCGUGGCUCAAUGGCAGAGCAUCCGGCUGUUAACCGGACGGUUGGGGGUUCGAGUCCCUCCGCUGGAG
This is a non-coding RNA of Mesotoga prima, 72 nucleotides long. Lineage: Bacteria; Thermotogati; Thermotogota; Thermotogae; Kosmotogales; Kosmotogaceae. The record is from Rfam.